Brassica napus (rape) is the source of this 1212-nucleotide long non-coding RNA. RefSeq lists it as uncharacterized. The transcript has 5 exons. NCBI's taxonomy places the organism in Eukaryota, Viridiplantae, Streptophyta, Magnoliopsida, Brassicales, Brassicaceae. The record is from RefSeq and is a predicted model, not a curated record.
CGACACCUGUCCCAUUAUUAGAACGCAGCGCUUCAUUUAUUCUAUUAUGGGCCAUCUCAUUUUAAAGCCCAAUUCAUUUGUGGCAUACGGGAAGCUAUUUGUCGUGACCUGAAAAAGUAAAAGGUCGUCUUCCUCAGCAUUCAUCCGUUACUUCAAGAUCUGAUUAGGUCAAACUGCAAAUCGAGUCAGCCGAAAAGUCCUUGCGAACCUUGGUAUCCAAGCAGCCAUCGUUUCAUAUUCGGUCCUUAACCCUUAGACGUUACAGGUUGUCUUAAUUCAUCGGCUUUAAGAGAUGUUAACUCCACCGACACGAAUCAAGCACGACAUCUCAUUCAAUGAUUCUCAUCAAAAUCCAAGGCUAUUUUCUUUAUCUAUAAAAGGGUUAAGCCUUCUCUAUCCUUGAACAUCAUCCUCACAUUGUGUGGUUCUCCGGAAAACAAAGUAAAUCCCCAAGCACAAAGGCUAACUCAUUUGUUCUUCUUGGUGAUUUGAAGGCUGGUCGGUGCUCUUCAACCGUCCAAGCACAGUUGCUCUGAUUAUGGGAGGCCAGAAGAUGGAAAUCUAAAACAUCUGCUGGGUUUCAGUGUCUCAGUUGAUCUUCGGAGCAUCAGCUGUGUUUUCUGUGAGAUUCUAACCAGAAGACCACUUCUUAAAGAAAGAACCUAGAUUGAACAACCACCAAAUGAAGAAUUAUGGAAAAGAACCAGCUUCAUUUGUCAAACUAAGAUGUUUAGACCACACCAUCAGUAUAAAGGUUGUCUGAGUUAAAGAUUUCAGGAGUUUCUGAAUAAAUAGGUUGAUCUUCAGGGGAAUUAAUCUAAUCCAGACAAACGCUGAGCUGCCUCAGUUGCUCUCAUGUGAAAGAAAAGAAAUAACCUGGUAUCCAAGAAUACGUGGAAAUCAGAAAUCACGUACAACAAUCAAAGAGCCUAAACUCCUAAGAAGUCACCAACCCAACAUGAAGCAUAUAAAGGGAAGCUGAGACAGAAAUCAUUCUUCCAACGCCACCGGAGACAUCUCAUUGACGACUCGAAGUGAGGAAAGAAAACGAUGCAGCUUCAACGCUUACUUAUAUAAUCAGCCUAAUGGAUCCGCGAGUUAUGUUAGACAAACUGAGCUUUCUCUGACCGCAAGUUUAUUUAGACUUCUCUGACGUGCCACUGUUCUCUCUCUGGCUUGCAUCACAAGAAAUCAGAAGAAGCUAUGGUGAGU